UUUUUAAAGCCAUACCUUCUGCAGAAUGUAAAUUAGAAGUUUACCUUUCCUUCGUGCCACUUGUCUUUAUUCGUAUUGUGUAUUUCUUCUAAAAGAAAUGUCAUGCCAUUAUGUAUAGAAGAAACACAAUAGAGCAUACAGACAAAGCAUCAGCAAAUUUGAAAAACCAGAAUACAAACAUUGUAAUAGAACAAUAACACAAUC
Molecule: long non-coding RNA, 204 nt
Filed under: Mytilus galloprovincialis (Mediterranean mussel)
Lineage: Eukaryota; Metazoa; Mollusca; Bivalvia; Mytilida; Mytilidae
Source: RNAcentral